AAACCGACGGUAAAAAGAUUGCGAGUGUGAGAAAACGACGCAAAUCCUCCUAUUCUUCACUUACCCCCCAAAUCGACGAAAGAGACUUUCAUUUCGAAGCUCUCGCGUGCGCUUUGUACUGAAAUUAGCUCUGAAGGUCUGGAGCAAUUUCGAACCGGCGUAGGUCUCCCACUGCUCUCAGACCCUCUGAAGGUCUCGAACAGGGAUGCAGUUUCGCUCAUCAGCGUAGGUCUCCUCUCCCACCUCCAGCAAGGUGAUCUCAAGCUUAGAGUUCGGGCAUUGGAAUCUGAGAGGGCAUUCCAACAUGUAGCAGCUGUUCAGAAGACUAUAGGGAGUGUGAGUUUAGCUUUGCUCAUGAUCUUGUCAAAUCAUAUAUUCUUUCUGAAUAUAUUUUUCUUUUAUGAUGAUUUUGCUGAAGGAAAACUAUCUCCUUCAUUAUUUGUGCUUUUCUCCUAAAUCAUAGAAAAUUGAAUUUAAAUGCCGUAUCUAAAUGCCUCUGUCUAUGGAAUGGAUUUAUUAAAAGAUUUCUUGCAUAAUGAGGAAAAGUGAAGUACAUGUGUAUUAAAUUCUA
Long non-coding RNA from Cannabis sativa, 571 nucleotides. RefSeq lists it as uncharacterized. The record is from RefSeq and is a predicted model, not a curated record. The transcript is spliced from 3 exons. Lineage: Eukaryota; Viridiplantae; Streptophyta; Magnoliopsida; Rosales; Cannabaceae.